AGCGAACGCUGGCGGCAGGCCUAACACAUGCAAGUCGAACGGAUCCUUCGGGAUUAGUGGCGGACGGGUGAGUAACACGUGGGAACGUGCCCUUUGGUUCGGAACAACUCAGGGAAACUUGAGCUAAUACCGGAUGCGCCCUUCGGGGGAAAGAUUUAUCGCCAUUGGAGCGGCCCGCGUCUGAUUAGCUAGUUGGUGAGGUAAAGGCUCACCAAGGCGACGAUCAGUAGCUGGUCUGAGAGGAUGAUCAGCAACAUUGGGACUGAGACACGGCCCAAACUCCUACGGGAGGCAGCAGUGGGGAAUCUUGCGCAAUGGGCGAAAGCCUGACGCAGCCAUGCCGCGUGAAUGAUGAAGGUCUUAGGAUUGUAAAAUUCUUUCACCGGGGACGAUAAUGACGGUACCCGGAGAAGAAGCCCCGGCUAACUUCGUGCCAGCCGCCGCAGUAA
RNAcentral lists this ribosomal RNA (449 nucleotides) under uncultured bacterium. RNAcentral describes it as "partial 16S ribosomal RNA". It matches the Rfam family "Bacterial small subunit ribosomal RNA", at positions 29 to 523 of the family's 1533-position model. The record is from RNAcentral.